This 301-nucleotide ribosomal RNA is filed under the name uncultured bacterium. RNAcentral describes it as "partial 16S ribosomal RNA". It matches the Rfam family "Bacterial small subunit ribosomal RNA", at positions 509 to 807 of the family's 1533-position model. The record is from RNAcentral.
CAGCAGCCACGGGAAUACGUAGGGUGCAAGCGUUAAUCGGAAUUACUGGGCGUAAAGCGUGCGCAGGCGGUUAUAUAAGACAGAUGUGAAAUCCCCGGGCUCAACCUGGGAACUGCAUUUGUGACUGUAUAGCUAGAGUACGGCAGAGGGGGAUGGAAUUCCGCGUGUAGCAGUGAAAUGCGUAGAUAUGCGGAGGAACACCGAUGGCGAAGGCAGCCCCCUGGGCCAACACUGACGCUCAUGCACGAAAGCGUGGGGAGCAAACAGGAUUAGAUACCCGCGUAGUCCCUGUCUCUUAUAC